ACGGGUGAGUAAUGCGUCGGAACGUGCCGAGUAGUGGGGGAUAACGCAGCGAAAGUUGUGCUAAUACCGCAUACGUACUGAGGUAGAAAGUGGGGGACCUUCGGGCCUCACGCUAUUCGAGCGACCGACGUCUGAUUAGCUAGUAGGUGAGGUAAAGGCUCACCUAGGCGACGAUCAGUAGCGGGUCUGAGAGGAUGAUCCGCCACACUGGGACUGAGACACGGCCCAGACUCCUACGGGAGGCAGCAGUGGGGAAUUUUGGACAAUGGGCGAAAGCCUGAUCCAGCCAUGCCGCGUGUCUGAAGAAGGCCUUCGGGUUGUAAAGGACUUUUGUCAGGGAGGAAAUCCCUAGCGUUAAUACCGCUGGGGGAUGACAGUACCUGAAGAAUAAGCACCGGCUAACUACGUGCCAGCAGCCGCGGUAAUACGUAGGGUGCGAGCGUUAAUCGGAAUUACUGGGCGUAAAGCGUGCGCAGGCGGUUUGAUAAGCCAGAUGUGAAAUCCCCGAGCUCAACUUGGGAACUGCGUUUGGAACUGUCAGACUAGAGUGCGUCAGAGGGGGGUGGAAUUCCGCGUGUAGCAGUG
Molecule: ribosomal RNA, 585 nt
Filed under: uncultured bacterium
Lineage: Bacteria
Description: bacterial SSU rRNA
Rfam family: Bacterial small subunit ribosomal RNA
Source: RNAcentral